Molecule: long non-coding RNA, 1244 nt
Filed under: Anolis carolinensis (green anole)
Lineage: Eukaryota; Metazoa; Chordata; Lepidosauria; Squamata; Anolidae
Description: lncRNA (ENSACAG00000037176.1)
Source: RNAcentral
CGAGGGGGCUGCAUUUAGCUACAUUUAUUCCAAGACAGGUGAAGAGGUGGCAUGGGAACACAUAGGUCCUUAAAAUUAGAUGAAUUGCAUCUAAAGAUAUUUUUUAAACUUGCAGGUAUAAUCUCAGAGAUUCAGUAUGUAAUCUUUGAUAAUUCUUGGUGAACAGAUGAAUUCGAUGCAAACUGGAUGUGGAUGAGUGUUAUCUUCAUUUAAAAGGGAGGGGGAUCUGAUCAACUACUGGCUAGUCAACUUGAUGGUGACAGCAGAAAAAUUCUAGAAUUUUGCAUUUAUGCCUAUUGAAUUUCAUUUUAUUAUUGUCUGCCCAACUUACUUAUAACCUAGGUCAUGUUGAAUUUUAUCUUCCAAUGUGUUGGUCACCCCCCUCCCCACUUUUGUAUCAGCCCAAAAACUGAUAAGGUUCCUUUAAACCCAGUCAUCUAAGUCACUGAUAAAAAUGCUGAAGAGUAAUGGCCCUGGGACAGAACCCCAAAGCACUCCAUUCACAACCUCCUUCCAGUUUGAAGAGCAGCUGUUGAUUAUGACUCUUUAACCAGAGUUUCCCAAUUAACUAUGGAUUCAUCUGACAGUGUUCCCAUUUAUUCCAUAAGUGAAAUAACAGCAUCACUCUGUUCUGCUUUGCUCAGAUCUCACCAAGCAAACUAUAAGAUAAAGCUUCUCUCCAUCGCCUUAUUAUGGAAAUGAUUGGUGUUGAGCUAACCAGAACUGAGUUACGAGGAGAAAGAUGUUAAAAGACUACAAACUGCUUUGAAAACAACGUGCUUUGUAAGUAAUAAUGAAUACAAACAAAGAUAGCCAUGUGCGAUUAGUACCUGAAAUAUACCAUUGCUCUGUGUCAUGUAGAGAUUUUAAAACACUUACACACAUGCAGCUAGGAAGCCAAGGGGUUCAGGAAUAACCUUGCUGGGUGUGGGCACGGCAUGAAACUCUAAUACAAGAAGAGACACUACCAAGAUUAGAAGUCAUGCUCUGAUUAGUUUAUUCAUUAGUCAGUCAUGUUUCUAGCCUGCUGUUCCUCUUAAAUUUGUUCAGGGCAAUGUUGCUGCUAUGUGAUAAUACUUUAGUCUAGAUAUACUGUUAACUAGUCUACCACAAGCUGGUAACAUCCAGAUCUUUUAGUCUCUAUUUCCCAUCCUGGACAAUGAGGAAUUAGUCUAAGACAUCUUCAGGGCACCAGUUUUAGGAGAGGCUGGGUUAAGUAUUUGUUUUUAGAGGAGAAGACUUCA